GCUCAGCAAGCGCAAAGAGCUCUUAAUCCUGUCGGUAUGGCCAAUCAACAGGCAAACGCGCCAAGAUUGAUGCGCCCUGGUUCAAAUAUGGGUCUCAGACAUUUAUUACAACAACCACAACCACCAUACAGGCAAGUACUUGGACUACAACAACAAAUUGUUGCUGCCAGAGGACAAAUGCCAACUAGGCCUAUGGCACCUGGUAAUUCACAGAAUCAACAAUUUGAAGAUGUUAACAAUUAUGAUUUCCUCGGAUAAGCGAUUUAGAUAGUAAAAAUUUUUAUAACGAAACGAUGUAUUUAAGUAAACUAUUUGCUAUUUUACAUAAGUAUUAUAUAAAUAUGUUUGUUAAGACUGUAAAUCAUGUAUUACUUUUUAUGAUCAAAGAAAUUAACAGAAUUACGAAUGAAUUGAGAGAAUUAUUAAUAUGCGAUCUAAUAAAUUAAUUCAUAAAUCUUGA
Megalopta genalis is the source of this 460-nucleotide non-coding RNA. NCBI's taxonomy places the organism in Eukaryota, Metazoa, Arthropoda, Insecta, Hymenoptera, Halictidae. The record is from RefSeq and is a predicted model, not a curated record.